This is a long non-coding RNA of Cucurbita moschata (crookneck pumpkin), 399 nucleotides long. RefSeq lists it as uncharacterized. The transcript has 2 exons. Lineage: Eukaryota; Viridiplantae; Streptophyta; Magnoliopsida; Cucurbitales; Cucurbitaceae. The record is from RefSeq and is a predicted model, not a curated record.
GCCAGAACAUGUUCGGCUGGUUGGAAUCGGGUGCCUUUGGGCGUGCGACAUGAGACUAGUUGGGCAUGGAAUGUGGCCUUCUAACUUGUGCUGCCUUCGGGAUGGUGGAUGGUCGGAGCGACGACAAAGCGUGCAAGGUGGGGUGGAGUUGGGUGCCUUCGGGCGUCCAACAUGAGCCUCGUCGAGCGUGCGGCGUUGUGGUGACGCCGUCGGGCCAUCCUUGGGGCAGCCCUAUGUUUUGAAGGUUGCGUGUUGGCAGAACGUGCACGGUUGGGCGGUGUCAAGUGCCUUCGGGCGUGCGACGUGAGCCUCGCUUUGCACGGAAGGUUGCGAUGCUUCCUUCGAACUCGGGCCGUCUCUAGGAUGGUUGAUGGCCUGACCGCGCACGACGCUUUGGGC